GGGGGAACCNUGACCAGCACGCCGCGUUGGAGGGAAGAAGGCCUUCGGGGUCGUAAACCUCUGUCAGGAGGGAAGAAAAGGCCGCGAUCUAACAGGUUGCGGUUUUGACGGUACCUCCAGAGGAAGCACCGGCUAACUCCGUGCCAGCAGCCGCGGUAAUA
This 161-nucleotide ribosomal RNA is filed under the name uncultured bacterium. RNAcentral's name for it is "partial 16S ribosomal RNA". It matches the Rfam family "Bacterial small subunit ribosomal RNA", at positions 374 to 525 of the family's 1533-position model. The record is from RNAcentral.